GACGAACGCUGGCGGCGUGCUUAACACAUGCAAGUCGAACGGAAAGGCCCUGCUUUUGUGGGGUGCUCGAGUGGCGAACGGGUGAGUAACACGUGAGUAACAUGCCCUUGACUUUGGGAUAACUUCAGGAAACUGGGGCUAAUACCGGAUAGGAGCUCCUGCUGCAUGGUGGGGGAUGGAAAGAUUCGGCGGUUGGGGAUGGACUCGCGGCUUAUUAGCUAGGUGGUGAGGUAGCGGCUUACCAAGGCUAUGACGGGUAGCCGGCCUGAGAGGGUGAUCGGCCACACUGGCACUGAGACACGGUCCAGACUCCUACGGGAGGCAGCAGUAGGGAAUCUUCCGCAAGGGGCGAAAGCCUGACGGAGCAGCGCCGCGUGAGUGAUGAAGGUCUUCGGAUCGUAAAACUCUGUUAUUAGGGAAGAACAAAUGUGUAAGUAACUAUGCACGUCUUGACGGUACCUAAUCAGAAAGCCACGGCUAACUACGUG
RNAcentral lists this ribosomal RNA (488 nucleotides) under uncultured bacterium. RNAcentral's name for it is "partial 16S ribosomal RNA". It matches the Rfam family "Bacterial small subunit ribosomal RNA", at positions 28 to 507 of the family's 1533-position model. The record is from RNAcentral.